Molecule: transfer RNA, 76 nt
Filed under: Klebsiella aerogenes
Lineage: Bacteria; Pseudomonadati; Pseudomonadota; Gammaproteobacteria; Enterobacterales; Enterobacteriaceae
Description: tRNA-Lys
Rfam family: tRNA (bases 4-69)
About the family: Transfer RNA (tRNA) molecules are approximately 80 nucleotides in length. Their secondary structure includes four short double-helical elements and three loops (D, anti-codon, and T loops).
Source: RNAcentral
AUUUCGUUAGCUCAGUUGGUAGAGCAGUUGACUUUUAAUCAAUUGGUCGCAGGUUCGAAUCCUGCACGACCCACCA